GUUUUUAUAGUUGAAUAACAACAUCAGUUUUUCGUGUUGAAGGUUCUGGUUUUAGUCCAGGUGAGAAUG
Molecule: transfer RNA, 69 nt
Filed under: Chamaeleo chamaeleon (common chameleon)
Lineage: Eukaryota; Metazoa; Chordata; Lepidosauria; Squamata; Chamaeleonidae
Also listed under: 1 other name
Description: tRNA-Glu
Rfam family: tRNA
About the family: Transfer RNA (tRNA) molecules are approximately 80 nucleotides in length. Their secondary structure includes four short double-helical elements and three loops (D, anti-codon, and T loops).
Source: RNAcentral